UACGGAGGGUGCGAGCGUUGUCCGGAAUCACUGGGCGUAAAGGGCGCGUAGGCGGCCUGGUAAGUAGGGGGUGAAAUCCUGCGGCUUAACCGCAGGGCUGCCUUCUAAACUGUCAGGCUCGAGCACGGUAGAGGCAGAUGGAAUUCCCGGUGUAGCGGUGGAAUGCGUAGAGAUCGGGAGGAACACCAGUGGCGAAGGCGGCGAUCUGGGAAGAUACUGACGCUGAGGUGCGAAAGCGUGGGGAGCAAACAGG
RNAcentral lists this ribosomal RNA (253 nucleotides) under uncultured bacterium. RNAcentral's name for it is "partial 16S ribosomal RNA". It matches the Rfam family "Bacterial small subunit ribosomal RNA", at positions 524 to 776 of the family's 1533-position model. The record is from RNAcentral.